UCCAACGAACAGCGAUCGAGGUGCUUUACUACUUCAAGAAUCUAUCUCCUGCUCUAAUUCAAGGUCUCGUCCACUGCACUUCAGUUUCGAAAAGUUCGUUCGAAAUAGUUCAAUAUACUCUUGAAACACUUGAUUUUGUUCGGCACUUUGAUGGGUCCAUUGCCGACUACCUCAGUUUCCUGCUCUCUGUUCUCGCCAAUUGUCACUUCACAGCCAAUAGCUCCGACUCAAACCUCAACACGAGGCGACGAAAACUGUUCGAAUUGGCACACCUUGUCGCCUAUCUCGCCUAUCAGCUCAACCUUCAAGGUGAACUCUUUGGACUUGUUGAUACUCACUUGCUCGAAAUACUCAUGCAAAGUGACUCGCCAGAUUUGGUUCGCGUCGUUUCAGCCUUCAUUGGGUUUUACUUGAAAUUGAUCAAGCCUUCUUCUGUCCUACCACCUACAUCAGAAAGUCCCUCCAUAAACCCUUCUGAGGACGGCUCUAUGGGGCAUUCACACCUCCCUUCCCCACUGAAAGAUGAACUUCCCAAGAGGCUCUUCUCCUUCUUGUCUUCGACGUUUCCCGAAACCACUCUCCACAGACUACCUUCGGAUAUUGUCUACGCCAAAGAGCUUUUCUCCAACGACUGCUUUCUCUUUCAAUCAUUCCUGCAGCACUGGAGAGAUUCUACUCGAACAUGCUCCGAGUUUGAUCUCGCGCUUCUUUCAGACUUCUUCAUAAAAUAUCCGUUAGAACUAAGUGACUCUCUACAACGCUCAGAAGAAAAAAUCCGGUUCAUUUUAGCGCUCCUCAAACAAUCUGAACAAGCAUGUUCUGUCUCGAACCUAGAGUCCGAAAUCAAUGCUUUUUACUCUACUUAAACCGCCUCUAUUCGUUUCCAAACUAUUCAUUUUUUUUAAGGACAAAUUUCCAUUCGUAGCGUGGCGUUUUUUCUCCUUACAUCACCAUGCCUCAAGGCCUCGGAUGGUUUUCCCAGAACAAUUCUGUCUUAAAAGCCAACUUCUGCCCUGUCUGCUCCUCACUCCUUGAUAUCCCAAAUACUGGCUCUAUCGUUUGCAGACUCUGCAGCUACAGCUGCAACCCAGUCGACCUGGAAUCUAGACAAAUUGUAACAACAAGCAAACCAAAAGAAACUCAUUUCAACUUUAAGAAAGACGGAAAUUUUGCGGCAAAGAUGAGUGAUGGGUCUGUUCUAUGUCCUAAAUGCGACCAUAACGAAUUGUACUUUAAAACGGCACAGCUACGCUCCGCUGAUGAAGGGCAAACUAUUUUUUAUGAGUGCUGCAAAUGCAGGUACGCUUUAUGGUCGACAUAAUCUCUUUAACGCGUUCCUUUUUUUUUUGCCCCAAUCCGAUCUCGCUUUUAACACCUGACUUUGCGAAUACCAGCUAUACUUGGUCCGUCAAUAGCUAGAGCCAUUCUUG
Schistocerca gregaria is the source of this 1430-nucleotide long non-coding RNA. RefSeq lists it as uncharacterized. The record is from RefSeq and is a predicted model, not a curated record. The transcript has 3 exons. Lineage: Eukaryota; Metazoa; Arthropoda; Insecta; Orthoptera; Acrididae.